AGCCUCGUGGUGUAUUCACGUCAAAUUGCAAGUUUGAAAAUCCACUUCUUCGUGGCGGGGCUU
This 63-nucleotide transfer RNA is filed under the name Acanthodactylus guineensis (Guinea fringe-fingered lizard). RNAcentral describes it as "tRNA-Cys". The record is from RNAcentral. Lineage: Eukaryota; Metazoa; Chordata; Lepidosauria; Squamata; Lacertidae.